Molecule: ribosomal RNA, 305 nt
Filed under: uncultured bacterium
Lineage: Bacteria
Description: bacterial SSU rRNA
Rfam family: Bacterial small subunit ribosomal RNA
Source: RNAcentral
GUUACCUACGGGACGCAGCAGUGGGGAAUAUUGCACAAUGGGGGAAACCCUGAUGCAGCGACGCCGCGUGAGUGAAGAAGUAUUUCAGUAUGUAAAGCUCUAUCAGCAGGGAAGAUAAUGACGGUACCUGACUAAGAAGCCCCGGCUAACUACGUGCCAGCAGCCGCGGUAAUGCGUAGGGGGCAAGCGUUAUCCGGAUUUACUGGGUGUAAAGGGUGCGUAGGUGGCAGGGCAAGUCAGAUGUGAAAGCCCGGGGCUCAACCCCGGGACUGCUUUGGAAACUGUAUGGCUGGAGUGCUGGAGAG